Long non-coding RNA from Chrysoperla carnea, 385 nucleotides. RefSeq lists it as uncharacterized. The transcript is spliced from 3 exons. The record is from RefSeq and is a predicted model, not a curated record. Lineage: Eukaryota; Metazoa; Arthropoda; Insecta; Neuroptera; Chrysopidae.
GGAAAAAGUUCCCACUGUAUUUGCGACAACAUUACGAGCAAGUGCGGAGCUGUUUGAGUCAAAAGUAUUCAACUUUGUGCCGCCACAAAAUGUGGAGUCACAAAAACAAACAGAGACUGUGCCUGCGAACGAAAAAAACAACUCCCAGGACAGUAUCGAAGAGCUCAAAGAAAAACUAAAAGAUCUGGAAAAUCAAUUGGCGCGAAGAAAUACUUCACGCGGUCGUGGUAGAAGAAAUGGCCGAAAGCGUAGACGGGUUAAUAACGGAGUCCGCGGUGAGCGUGGUGGCCAAGAAGGGCGCGGUGGCAACAGAGGCCACGGUGGCAACAGAGGCCGCGGUGGCAACAGAGGUCGCGGUGGACAUGGUGGGCAUGAUGGCUAUGAA